Molecule: ribosomal RNA, 253 nt
Filed under: uncultured bacterium
Lineage: Bacteria
Description: partial 16S ribosomal RNA
Rfam family: Bacterial small subunit ribosomal RNA
Source: RNAcentral
UACGAAGGGGGCUAGCGUUGCUCGGAAUCACUGGGCGUAAAGGGUGCGUAGGCGGGUCUUUAAGUCAGGGGUGAGAUCCUGGAGCUCAACUCCAGAACUGCCUUUGAUACUGAGGAUCUUGAGUCCGGGAGAGGUGAGUGGAACUGCGAGUGUAGAGGUGAAAUUCGUAGAUAUUCGCAAGAACACCAGUGGCGAAGGCGGCUCACUGGCCCGGUACUGACGCUGAGGCACGAAAGCGUGGGGAGCAAACAGG